GACGAACGCUGGAGGCGUGCUUAACACAUGCAAGUCGAACGAUGAAAUGGAGCCUGCUCCAUGGAUUAGUGGCGAACGGGUGAGUAACACGUGAAUAACCUGCCCUUAAUUUUGGAAUAACCCAGGGAAACCUGGGCUAAUACCGGAUAAGUAAACCUGUGGCAUCACAUGGUUUUGGAAAGUUUUUCGAUUAAGGAUGGAUUCGCGGCCUAUCAGCUUGUUGGUGAGGUAAUGGCUCACCAAGGCGACGACGGGUAGCCGGCCUGAGAGGGUGAACGGCUACACUGGGACUGAGACACGGCCCAGACUCCUACGGGAGGCAGCAGUGGGGAAUAUUGCGCAAUGGACGAAAGUCUGACGCAGCGACGCCUCGUGAGGGACGAAGGUCUUCGGAUUGUAAACCUCUUUCAGCAGGGACGAAGCGAAAGUGACGGUACCUGCAGAAGAAGCACCGGCUAACUAUGUGCCAGCAGCCGCAGUAA
This 482-nucleotide ribosomal RNA is filed under the name uncultured bacterium. RNAcentral describes it as "partial 16S ribosomal RNA". It matches the Rfam family "Bacterial small subunit ribosomal RNA", at positions 28 to 523 of the family's 1533-position model. The record is from RNAcentral.